UUUGGUGACGAUAGCGAAGUGGAUACACCUGUUCCCAUCCCGAACACAGUAGUUAAGCACUUCAGCGCCGAUGAUAGUUCUCACGAGCGAAAGUAGGACGUUGCCAAGC
This 109-nucleotide ribosomal RNA is filed under the name Mycoplasmatota bacterium. Lineage: Bacteria; Bacillati; Mycoplasmatota. The record is from RNAcentral.